GAUGAACGCUGGCGGCGUGCUUAACACAUGCAAGUCGAGCGAAGCGCUCUGUCCGGAUUCUUUCGGGAUGACGGACUUAGUGACUGAGCGGCGGACGGGUGAGUAACGCGUGGGUAACCUGCCUCGUACAGGGGGAUAACAGUUAGAAAUGACUGCUAAUACCGCAUAAGACCACAGUACCGCAUGGUACAGGGGUAAAAACUCCGGUGGUAUGAGAUGGAUCCGCGUCUGAUUAGCCAAGUUGGCGGGGUAACGGCCCACCAAAGCGACGAUCAGUAGCCGACCUGAGAGGGUGACCGGCCACAUUGGGACUGAGACACGGCCCAAACUCCUACGGGAGGCAGCAGUGGGGAAUAUUGCACAAUGGGCGAAGCCUGAUGCAGCGACGCCGCGUGA
Molecule: ribosomal RNA, 396 nt
Filed under: uncultured bacterium
Lineage: Bacteria
Description: bacterial SSU rRNA
Rfam family: Bacterial small subunit ribosomal RNA
Source: RNAcentral